RNAcentral lists this ribosomal RNA (253 nucleotides) under uncultured bacterium. RNAcentral describes it as "partial 16S ribosomal RNA". It matches the Rfam family "Bacterial small subunit ribosomal RNA", at positions 524 to 776 of the family's 1533-position model. The record is from RNAcentral.
UACGUAGGGUGCGAGCGUUAAUCGGAAUUACUGGGCGUAAAGCGUGCGCAGGCGGUUCGUUAAGUCAGAUGUGAAAGCCCCGGGCUCAACCUGGGAACUGCACUUGAAACUGGCGGGCUUGAGUAUGGCAGAGGGGGGUGGAAUUCCGCGUGUAGCAGUGAAAUGCGUAGAGAUGCGGAGGAACACCGAUGGCGAAGGCAGCCCCCUGGGCCAAUACUGACGCUCAGGCACGAAAGCGUGGGGAGCAAACAGG